Molecule: long non-coding RNA, 1706 nt
Filed under: Homo sapiens (human)
Lineage: Eukaryota; Metazoa; Chordata; Mammalia; Primates; Hominidae
Description: HSALNT0363476
Source: RNAcentral
GAGAGCGCCUCCGCGGUGGGACGGAGCCGGACUGGGCCGAGCGAGGGAGGCUCCUGAGCCUCGGAGGACCCCGGGGUUGGCUUUGGGAGCUGAAAGUUUCCUUGGACCCCUCGGAAGCCCCGUGACAUCAGAGGCCGGGCCUGGCAGGGGCAGGCAGGAAACGUGUCUGGAGGCUACUGCCCUCUCCGCGUGACCUUGGGCGAGCAGCCUCCUCCUGGGGCUCAGUGGGUGUGAUUUUGUAACAUUUCCCAGCGCUGCCACAGGCGCGUCUCGCCCUGUCCAACGCGGAGCCCGAAGAAUUACUAAGAAACCGAGGUCUGAAGGAGGGAAGAGGUGACGGGCUCGAGGCCACACGGUGGGCCAGGCUGGGCCCGGCUGCACGCCGGCUACCGGGGCCCAGCCCUCUGCACGCCUCCCGCAGCCUCAGUUUCCCUGUCCGUGGUACUGAGGAUGCUCGGGCCUAGAAGUUCAGGGCUGGAGGCCCAGGGACCGUCGAGGGAGGGGCAUCAUCCCCGCCAUGGGGCCGCCGCAACUGCCCAGAGCACAGGCCAAAGACCCCUGAGGCCCCCUCCUCCUUCAGAGCAUGCACGUCGCAAAUUCUCAAUGACUGUUUGGAGGAAUGAAUAAAUGAAUUGUGAACAAAUGGUCUGAAGAUUCCAGAGGUAGCCUAAUGGGGCCCUGCUGCUUGAGUUCUAAUCCCAGCCCCACCAGUUGUUGGCUAUUUGGCCCUGGGCAGGCUUCUGCCAUCACUCUGUGUGACUUCAACAUUCUACCUGCAUGACCUAUGCAGCACCUGGCCGCUGUUACCUUGCCACCCUCACUGACAUCUUCUCUGCAUAGGCCUUCCACCAUGCCCUGUACUUUCUCCCCACUAGAAAUAGCCCUGGCUCUGAAAUGUGUUUUAAUCAUCCCACUUUGGGUCCACCAGUUCCUAGCCUUUGAGCUUAGGCCUCUCCUCCAGGACCCUCCCUGGCUACGAUUUCCCAACCCCUCUCGACCUUCCAUUCACUGACCUUGCCACUUUCUUGCCUCUUGUCUGCACCUCUCCCCAUCCCUAGUGUGGAUUCCAUCCCCUUGUGAACGCUGCCACCCGUCCUGGCAGAGACUCAGUACUUCCACUCUCUGAAUGCAUUUCUUCUUCCUAGGCACACCAGAAGACUACAUUUCCUAGCCCCCCACCCCCUUGCAGUGUCUGGGACCAUGUGACUCCUUAAUUAGGUCACUUCUCUCUCCUGGGAGGCCCUCUCUGCCCUCUCUAAGUCUAACUAGUGGCAAAGGAUCUAAGGGAAGAAACCUGGCAGAGUUACUAGUCCCAAGAAGCCUGGGUCCCUGAAUCACCACAUGGAAGUCUACGCGCCCACCACCUGAAUGGACUAAGGAAGCUGCAGGAUGAAGACAACAGCAUCACAAGGAGGAAGCCAGGAUCCCUGUGUUACCACAAGGAGGAGAGAUGCCUAACCAAGACCGUCUGCAAGGAUUUUGUGUGAGCCAGAAGCAGAGCUGUAUGGUGUUCAGCCACUGAGAUUUGAGGGCUGUUUGUUACAGCAGUUGACCUAUCCUGACUGACACAUCACAUCAUUCCUUUCCCCACCAUGUGUCUAACAUGCUACCAAAUUGAAUUUUAAGUAAAUUAGUACUUAUAAAUUAAGUACAAAUGCUUUUCAAAUUCACAUGAAUCUUUGGUAAAUAAAACUGGUUGUAAAAUU